Molecule: ribosomal RNA, 619 nt
Filed under: Staphylococcus pseudintermedius
Lineage: Bacteria; Bacillati; Bacillota; Bacilli; Caryophanales; Staphylococcaceae
Description: bacterial SSU rRNA
Rfam family: Bacterial small subunit ribosomal RNA
Source: RNAcentral
UGAAAGACGGUCUUGCUGUCACUUAUAGAUGGACCCGCGCCGUAUUAGCUAGUUGGUGGGGUAACGGCCUACCAAGGCGACGAUACGUAGCCGACCUGAGAGGGUGAUCGGCCACACUGGAACUGAGACACGGUCCAGACUCCUACGGGAGGCAGCAGUAGGGAAUCUUCCGCAAUGGGCGAAAGCCUGACGGAGCAACGCCGCGUGAGUGAUGAAGGUCUUCGGAUCGUAAAGCUCUGUUGUUAGGGAAGAACAAAUGUGUAAGUAACUGUGCACAUCUUGACGGUACCUAACCAGAAAGCCACGGCUAACUACGUGCCAGCAGCCGCGGUAAUACGUAGGUGGCAAGCGUUAUCCGGAAUUAUUGGGCGUAAAGCGCGCGUAGGCGGUUUUUUAAGUCUGAUGUGAAAGCCCACGGCUCAACCGUGGAGGGUCAUUGGAAACUGGAAAACUUGAGUGCAGAAGAGGAAAGUGGAAUUCCAUGUGUAGCGGUGAAAUGCGCAGAGAUAUGGAGGAACACCAGUGGCGAAGGCGGCUUUCUGGUCUGCAACUGACGCUGAUGUGCGAAAGCGUGGGGAUCAAACAGGAUUAGAUACCCUGGUAGUCCACGCCGUAAACG